This 392-nucleotide ribosomal RNA is filed under the name uncultured Bacteroides sp. Its description in RNAcentral is "bacterial SSU rRNA". It matches the Rfam family "Bacterial small subunit ribosomal RNA", at positions 8 to 380 of the family's 1533-position model. Lineage: Bacteria; Pseudomonadati; Bacteroidota; Bacteroidia; Bacteroidales; Bacteroidaceae. The record is from RNAcentral.
AGAGUUUGAUCCUGGCUCAGGACGAACGCUGGCGGCGUGCCUAAUACAUGCAAGUCGAACGGUCUUUUCUAUGGAAGCUUGCUUCCACUGAGAAGAUAGUGGCGAACGGGUGAGUAACACGUGGGUAACCUGCCCAUAAGAGGGGGAUAACAUCCGGAAACGGGUGCUAAUACCGCAUAGUUUUCUUGAUCGCAUGAUCGAGAAAGGAAAGACGGCCUUUGUGCUGUCGCUUAUGGAUGGACCCGCGGCGUAUUAGUUAGUUGGUGAGGUAAUGGCCCACCAAGACGAUGAUACGUAGCCGACCUGAGAGGGUGAUCGGCCACAUUGGGACUGAGACACGGCCCAAACUCCUACGGGAGGCAGCAGUAGGGAAUCUUCCGCAAUGGACGAAA